CAUUGUCAUGAAGGAGCACACAGGGAAGGAAGGGUCAGCAGUGUCAGCUUUCUAGACAAGGUAAUGCCUGGAUGGAGACCUGAAGGUUAACAGAAGGAAAGGGAGUUGAAAGAGGCAUUCAAAAAGACUGAAGGGGGCCUGUGAAAUAAGGUGUUUUGUUCAGAGAACCAUCAAGUACUUUGCUGCUGAGGAGUCAAAUUAGGAGAGGUGAGACUGGAAGGGAUCAGUCCAUAGGCAGCCUGGGAAGCCCUGUUGUGCUAAUGUAGCCAGAUACUUAUGAUUUCUCUAAAGGGUAUCAUUUUAUGCCCAUUGCAUAUUUUUUUGAAACAUUAUAUUUCUUUUCUCUCCAUGAUACAGAAAUUCCAUAGUUGCAAUUAUGUAAACCCAGAAUACUGCUAUAUAGUAAGCAUCUGUACUUUGAUCACCUUUAUGAUCUUUUUGUAUUUUAGUAAUGAACUAUUACCAUAGAUAAAAUGAGGAAUUAGUUAUAGACUUGGUGAAUUGGGAAUGCUAAGAAGUUCUUCAGGAAAGCUUUGGACAUAUAUGGAUGGACUUCAGCCCAGUCCUCUCCCAUUUUACUGGUACCCUC
Molecule: long non-coding RNA, 589 nt
Filed under: Bos taurus (domestic cattle)
Lineage: Eukaryota; Metazoa; Chordata; Mammalia; Artiodactyla; Bovidae
Description: long non-coding RNA NONBTAT019651
Source: RNAcentral